AGAGCGAACGCUGGCGGCGUGCUUAACACAUGCAAGUCGAACGCGCAGCAGUUUGUAGCAAUACAGAUUGUGGGCGCGUGGCGAACGGGUGCGUAACACGUGGAUAACCUUCCUUCAGGUGGGAAUAACCCAGUGAAAAUUGGGCUAAUACCGCAUAACAUGACGAUGGCUCAUGCCGUUGUCUUCAAAGGCGCAAGUCGCCAGAAGAGGGAUCCGCGGCCGAUUAGCUAGUUGGCGAGGUAAUGGCUCACCAAGGCAUUGAUCGGUA
Molecule: ribosomal RNA, 268 nt
Filed under: uncultured bacterium
Lineage: Bacteria
Description: partial small subunit ribosomal RNA
Rfam family: Bacterial small subunit ribosomal RNA
Source: RNAcentral